UGUCGAUGACGUCUAUGUCAAAAAUAAAAAGAUGAUUGUUUAUUUGUUUCGAAGAAAGUUAUUUUUAACUUUGGUCGACUAAAAAAGUCUCAUUUUCACUCUCACUCAACUCAUUUUCAAGUUUUUUAACCUUUUUUCUAUUGAUUCCCUGUGACAACAACCUAAACCUUCUAUGAAAUUUUCGAGGAUAUCCAGAAAUUAAAGAAUUUAACUCAAGAUGGAGCAUGCUUUUGUUUCUAGCGAUGGGGAGCCAGACAGGCACACCAAACUUCUGCUGACACUCAAUAUUUUCGGAGUCAUUGUUUGCUGCUUCCUCAUAGUGUUCAUGAGCUUAUGGGCCUUAAACAUAAUUUUUCCAGAACCGAACACGGCAUAUCUAAUGAGAAAUUAUUUAGAUAAUUUAUCAAAACCUUAUAAGAAUGAAACUAUUAGAAUUAAAAGUCGUUAUGAUGUAUUUAGUAAUUUGUUAUAAAAUUAAUGUGUCCGCUGAA
Molecule: long non-coding RNA, 491 nt
Organism: Colias croceus (clouded yellow)
Lineage: Eukaryota; Metazoa; Arthropoda; Insecta; Lepidoptera; Pieridae
Exons: 3
Source: RefSeq, a predicted model, not a curated record